RNAcentral lists this ribosomal RNA (1002 nucleotides) under uncultured soil eukaryote. RNAcentral describes it as "SSU rRNA". It matches the Rfam family "Eukaryotic small subunit ribosomal RNA", at positions 545 to 1505 of the family's 1831-position model. The record is from RNAcentral.
CAAUUAGAGGACAAGUCUGGUGCCAGCACCCGCGGUAAUUCCAGCUCUAAUAGCAUACGUUAAAGUUGUUGCGGUUAAAACGCUCGUAGUCGGCUUCCGACUGUCAGAUGCCUGAUCCGGGAGCCAAGGAAUGCUGCCUCUAGGGGCGCGCCGGGUGACUGGGGAGGGUGGGCGGCAGUCAAUUGUACCUCAGGCUGUAUCCUUCGGGACGCACAGACCGGCUGCCUUCGGGUAGACCCCGGUCGGCUUGGGGUAUCAAUUACCAUGAUCAAACUGGGGUGAUCAAAGCAGGUCGCAAGACCUUGCACAGCGCAGCAUGGAACAAGCUAAGCCGGCCUGGUCUCUCAAGCGGGACUGGGUAGGCAGAAGCAAAAGGGGUGUUCGAGGGUGACCGAAUUGCCGGGCGAGUGGUGAAAUACGUUGACCCUGGCAAGUCGACCAAAGGCGAAAGCCGUUAUCAAGGGCACGCCCGUUGAUCAAGAGCGAAAGUUAAGGGUUCGAAGACGAUCAGAUACCGUCGUAGUCUUAACUAUAAAUGAUACUGGCCAGGGAUGGGAUAUUGUCCAUCUCGACUCUUCCUGGACCUUGGAGAAAUCAGAGUCUUUGAGUUCUGGGGGGAGUAUGGUCGCAAGGCUGAAACUUAAAGGAAUUGACGGAAGGGCACACAAAGAGUGGAACCUGCGGCUUAAUUUGACUCAACACGGGAAAACUCACCAGGUCCGGAUACACGUAUGAAAGACAAGCUGAAAGACUUUUCUCAAUGAUGUAAGUGGUGGUGCAUGGUCGUUCGUAGUUCGUGGAUUGAUUUGUCUGGUCUAUUCCGAUAACGAGCGAGACCCCGACGUUCCUAAUAGGGGCGGCAGCCCGGCUUGCCUCACGGCUUGCUAGCAGCCGCCUAAGAUUUACUUCUUAGACGUAUCAGAGCCGAUAAGGUUCUUGAAAUGGGUUAAUAACAGGUCAGUCAUGCCCUUAGAUGUUCUGGGCCGCACGCGCGUUACAAUG